AAGGAGAGGAGGAGUUUGUCUCUUGGGGGUCCUGGACCUACCCGUUGCUCUUCUUCCUGAGGUCCUGGGGUCCCCAGGGCAGCCCACCCCACCCCCCUGCCCUCCGUUUGACUUCCCUGAAGCUCUGAGCAGCAAAGAUCAGGAGUCCAGAGCCCCGUGGCUUCUGUCACCCUGCCAGCCUAAGAGUCAUGGAUGGGGCUGGAAGAGGCUGGAGGGUUGGGAUAGAAGUGGGUUCCUGGCAGUCUUGGCUCCCAGGCCAUCGAUUGAUUUAUGCCUACUGCUGUCUCAGCACCUUCUGCUGUUUCCCGACUGGUGUACGAGGCAGGGCUCUACUCAGUCUUGGCACUAGAGAACUGAAGUGGGGCAAGGGGGUGGGGCGGAGGGCGGAGAGGGCCCUGGAGGUCUGAAGAGGGUGUGGGCCUCAGGGAAGAAGUCUGCAGUGGACCGGAGGAGACAGGUUGGCAGUGGGAGGCACUGUGCCAAACUGGCCUCAUCGUCUUAGUGUCCCCCACUUACUGUAUGGUUGGGUGAUGGGGAAGGAGGGGUGGUGGGCUUGGGGAGCGAGAGUCAGGACGAGGGCUCUGUGCUGAGCUCCCCAGGAGCCUGACAAGCCUGCAGCCCUCCCCACCUCCCCUGCUCUCACACUUCUUGGCAACACAGGCACUGUCUCUUAGCGACAGGGUUUUGGGGGAGCCAUGGCCCCCACCAUGCUGCCCGUGGGAUGCAUGCGCAUCGCCCUCCCCCAGCAGAGUCACCAAGCCUCAGGCAGCAGCAGACAGGGGUACGCUGGCCCCAGUUCAUGGCUGGUCAGCCCAUCUAUCUGUGCCUGUCCCGAUCUCAGGGUGAAGCUCUCUGAUCCAUGCCAUGCUUCCUGAAUGCCUGAGAAUGGGCCAGCUGGGCUGGCUGCCUACAGACAGCAUCGUUGCUGCUGGCUGCACCUUGGGUCCAGUACAGCCAUAUCUACAGUCACAGGUGCCGGACCCAGACAGAGAUCAUUUCAGCCUAGGUGUGCGGACAACGGAACUGUAGGAGGAGCCGGAACAAGGAGGCUCCAGGUCGGGAGCUCCAGGGAUUCGGAGCUAGGUAAACUGGGUGCUGUGCGCUCCUUCAAUCUUAUGCCUCCACUUCUCAAAUCUAUUGCUGGACCUCCUCGUGAGUCCCGGCCCCAUUUCCUCGAGUACCUAUUGACCACUUUCCUUGAGUAUGUUACCAUGACCUCAAAGCCAGCCUGUCCACAUGUACCUGAAUGAAGGAAGAUCCCAGAGGAGGAGGAGGAUCAUUCUAGCCCAAUUUCCUCAUGGUGGAAGUGAUGACGCCUAGGUCCAAGGAGGUUCAUUUUUCAAGACUGUAAUUCGGGUACAAAGUGGCGGCUGAACUGAGGUCAGACUCUGACUCCAGCAGAGAGCUGAUUCCUAGGAGCCCUCCAACAGCCAGUUGGGGUCAUUCCGAAGCCAGCUGUGCAGGAGAGCUGUGAUGGUGAAGACUCUAGCCAGGCUUUGAAGGGUUUCACACUCGGCUAGCCGGCUCUGAAGGGUUCCACACUCGGCUAGCCCGGCUCUGAAGGGUUCCACACUCGGCUAGCCCGGCUCUGAAGGGUUCCACACUCGGCUAGCCUGGCUCUGAAGGGUUCCACACUCGGCUAGCCCGGCUCUGAAGGGUUCCACACUCGGCUAGCCCGGCUCUGAAGGGUUUCACACUCGGCUUUGAGGUCGUUUCCCUCUCUCUUCUCGGCCCAGUGGCACAGCAGAGGCAAGGCAAAACUGAGAAAGCCAAGAAAGGAGACACCUCACCUCCUUCGUAAGCUGUAAGUAGGUGGCGAAGGCCUGGGAGGACACGCCAACAAGCUUUGUCAGUAGUUAAGAAGCCGCCUUAAACGCAGGCUUUGUGUUUGCCCAGACUUGGCAAUUUUGAAGCCUUGGGCAAAUAGCAUGUAAUGGGUCCUCAGUCAACUUUGUGCCUCCAAUUUGGCAGAGGAGGGGUGUUAUUAACCAUGCACACCAUCUGCUACCUUCUCCUUUUAACUAAUUAUUCUCGCUAACUAGGUGCUAAGCUCAGUUGUUGCUACACCGCUAAAGGAAUACCCAGGCUGUCGAGGACGCAUUCAUUUAACAAAAAUUUAAAGUGACAGACACCUUUAAAACCACCACCGACUGGCACUUGCUCAUGCAUUCUAAAUGUGGGUGUUGUAGCCCAAAGUCUCAGUCGCCUGCCUUGGCUAUAUGCAAAAAGCCUGAUGACAUGUGGCCGGCAGGAACAGAACAGAAGGAGAGUGAUGUAUGUUAUGCUCUGUGAAUGUCCGGGAAGUGGGCAGGGUAAUGGGCCACAGCAGAGGGUGUUCUCCCUCUUCUGGUUUCUGCCACCCUUUCCUCCCUUUGAGGCCUGUCAGCACAGACAGGGGAGAAGGCUGUGUGUUGACUGAGCGCCACGGAACCAUAAAAGUUCAUAAGAAAGUGGAUAUGAUAGUCUAUGCUUGUGAUCCCAGCUCUGGGGAAGCUGAGGCAGAAGGAUCACAGGUUUGAGGCCAGUCUGAGCUAUAGAGCAAGACCCUGUCUCAAAAACCCCAAACCCUAAUAUAAAAAGCCACCCCCCCUCAAAAAAAAAUGCUGACUGAGAAAAGACCGCAUUGAUGUUUCUUGGAGUCUGCUCUACACUGUGUGAUCACCACAAUGUGUUUUGGGCCUGUCUGUUUCGACAGUUACUUAUUUAAAAUGAAGUAUUAUCAAGUGAGGAUUUCCCACAUCUUGUCUCACCACACCACUGUUGAGCUGUGGUGCAGGGUAGGAGGUUAUGAUCAAUAACAACUGUUAGGGAGCAGCUGACCCUAAAAGAGAAUAUCUCAAACUGCUGACGGCUACCCCAUCACUCUCCCUCCUGACAUCUGUUCUACAGACUACCCAACAGUCUUGGUUUUAUAUAUGGAUACGUGUGCAUGCCUAUGUGUAUAUAUACCAUGUGUGUGUGUGACUCGCUUCUCCUAUUUCUCAUUUCUUGAUAUGUGGUUAGAAAAAUCUUCAUUCCCACUGUCUCUGGAGCAAUCCAUACUAGUCCCUUGGUCACUGGCCUAGACCUGGAUGACAGUCAAUGGCCACCUCACUGAUGUUCUUGGUCUGGCAUCCUCGGUAUAAGGGUGUCCUCACCAUUGCCAGGUUAUGCUUCCUUAAAUCAUGUUCAUCUUGCUGCAAGCUUCACGUGGGUUCUAUUUGCUACACAAUCACUGACACUCUUUUGGGAGGCUGUGGAAGUCCCUGAGUCCCAUCCAUGCAGCCCACUUCCCACAGUUCUAGCCCUUGGCUGAGGACUGACAGAGCGCCCCUCUUCCCUUCGGUCCUUGGCUCUUUGGUCAUUUAUCAGGGUCACUGGAGCCCCAUCCUCAUCCUAUGUGCCUAUCACCACCCAUUCCUUGAGGUCUAACUCAAGCCCAACUUCAGAGCCAACUGCAGGAUUUGCUAAGUGAACUUGCUGGUGGCCAGAGGAUAUUUUCUUUUUCUUUCUUUCGAUUUUUCCUUUUUUUUUAGACAGGUUUUCUCUGUAUAACAGUUCGGGCUGUCCUGGAACUUGCUUUGUAGACCAGUCUAGUUUUGAACUCACAGAGAUCCUCCUGCUUCUGCCUCCCAAGUGCUGGGAUUAAAGGUGUGCGCCACCACCACCUGGCUGAGGAUAUUUUCUUAAUAAGGCUUUUCUUCUUUUCACGUGUAUUUGCACAUUCAUAUGUGGGUGUACAUGUGUGGAGGCCUGAGGCUGAUGUCAGGAACCUUCCUUGGUUGCUAUUCCACCUUAUUCUUUUGAGCCAAAGUCUGUCAAUCAAACCCAGACUUGCUCUGGGGAUCCCAUCUCUGUCUUCUGAGGCUGCAAUUACCGGCGAUCCCCAGACACAUCUGGCAUUUAUGUGGGCCCAGGAGCCUGACCCUCAGUCCCCCUGCUUGCAGAGCAAGAGAUUUCAUGGCUAAACCAUAUCCCAAGCCUCCCCACCCCAGAGGAUUUUGACAUGAAAUUGUGCACGGUUCUGGGUUUGACCCCAGCACUGGUGUGUGCAUGUGUGCGUGUGUGUGUGUGUGUGCGUGCGUGUGUGCGUGCGUGCGUGCGUGCGCAUGCGUGCGUGCGUGCGUGUGUGUGUGUGUGUGUGUGUGUGUGUGUGUGCACUCUAUGUUCAUUUUAAAUGGCUGUCACUAAUUGGCCCCUGCUUCUCAGGAUUAAGACUACCAUCUCAGACUCUUCCAGCAGUCUAUGCCGGGCAAUACAACUUUGUCGGACACAUAUUUGGCCCUUUACAAAGCACAUUUAAGUAUCUGUCAACAGUUCUUUAAAAAUGGAAUUAUCUUGAGGCUGGAGAGAUGGCUCAGUGGUUAAGAGCACUGGUUGAUUUUACAGAGGACCCUGGUUUGGAACCCAGAACUUGCAUGGGUUCACAACUGUCUGUAACUCCAUUUCCAAGGGACAUGGUACUAUCUUCUGGCCUCCAUGGGCAUAAAACACACACAGUGUACAGACAUACAUGCAGGAAAAAAAAACCCUCAUAGACAUAAAAUAAAAAUAAAUAAUGAAAAAAUGGAACUAUCUUAUUUUAUCUAUAACACUUCAGUCAACUGUUGUUUAAGGGCCUCCUUUUCCAAGAAGACUGCCCAAAUUAUUUCUGUCAACUGUUCGGUGUGUUCACAGGCUGUGCUUUCUCUGUGCUGGUGGAUCCUCCCUUGCACUUUGAGGAACAGUGCGCACUCCAAGUUUUGGGGGAAGACGUACCUUCUCUGCAGCAUGGCUCACAUUUUCUUACACAGUUGGAGGCUGGUGCCAAGUGUCAAGCCUGACAUGGGUUAGACUAAAGUCUAUGGGUACCUAAGGGCUAGCACUACACAAACAGGGGAUGUGCCUAGCGUGUAGGCAUCGGAAUAAGGGGAGGCCUGGGUUGAAUCACAGAUCUUUCCCUCCUGGCUGUGAGACCCUGAGAGGUGUCUCCAGCUGUGUGACCCAGCACAGCCUCUGUAAACAUAGGAGAAUAGUCCUCCCUGGGUAUGGUGGCUCACAUUUGUACUUCUGGUGCUGGGGAAACAAGUUCAUGGCUAGAGUGGGCUACAAAGUAAAUUCCAUACCACUCU
Molecule: long non-coding RNA, 5090 nt
Organism: Peromyscus californicus insignis
Lineage: Eukaryota; Metazoa; Chordata; Mammalia; Rodentia; Cricetidae
Exons: 4
Source: RefSeq, a predicted model, not a curated record